This is a long non-coding RNA of Jaculus jaculus (lesser Egyptian jerboa), 327 nucleotides long. RefSeq lists it as uncharacterized. The transcript has 3 exons. NCBI's taxonomy places the organism in Eukaryota, Metazoa, Chordata, Mammalia, Rodentia, Dipodidae. The record is from RefSeq and is a predicted model, not a curated record.
GUCAGUGUAUGCGCAUCUGUAGGAGGCGUGAUUGGUAGGAGAUGCGCGCCGGGCAGAAGCAGCCUGCGGGGAGGAUUCUCGAGCAAUCCGGGAGAUGGGUUAGGGUCUUCCUCGCCCCCAUGAGUAACUAGGUCCCGCGGGAUGGGACACGUGGCGCCCAACGUGGGGGCUCGAGGCGUGGACCCCUGCCGGACGGAGACCCCCCAGCACACGAUCUCCGGAGUGGUCCUGAAUGGUCACCGCUUCUCCACCCAAGAAGACGGCAAGACCUCAAUCUGCUUCUCUUUUCCAGAUAGAUGCAGAUCCUAAGAAGAGAGCUGCCCCAAC